GAUGAACGCUGGCGGCGUGCCUAAUACAUGCAAGUAGAACGCUGAAGGAGGAGCUUGCUCUUCUGGAUGAGUUGCGAACGGGUGAGUAACGCGUAGGUAACCUGCCUGGUAGCGGGGGAUAACUAUUGGAAACGAUAGCUAAUACCGCAUGACAACAGUUAUUGCAUGAUAACUGUUUAAAAGGGGCAACUGCUCCACUACCAGAUGGACCUGCGUUGUAUUAGCUAGUUGGUGAGGUAACGGCUCACCAAGGCGACGAUACAUAGCCGACCUGAGAGGGUGAUCGGCCACACUGGGACUGAGACACGGCCCAGACUCCUACGGGAGGCAGCAGUAGGGAAUCUUCGGCAAGGGACGGAAGUCUGACCGAGCAACGCCGCGUGAGUGAAGAAGGUUUUCGGAUCGUAAAGCUCUGUUGUAAGAGAAGAACGAGUGUGAGAGUGGAAAGUUCACACUGUGACGGUAUCUGACCAGAAAGGGACGGCUAACUACGUG
This 495-nucleotide ribosomal RNA is filed under the name uncultured bacterium. RNAcentral describes it as "partial 16S ribosomal RNA". It matches the Rfam family "Bacterial small subunit ribosomal RNA", at positions 28 to 507 of the family's 1533-position model. The record is from RNAcentral.